Molecule: ribosomal RNA, 258 nt
Filed under: Escherichia coli
Lineage: Bacteria; Pseudomonadati; Pseudomonadota; Gammaproteobacteria; Enterobacterales; Enterobacteriaceae
Description: partial 23S ribosomal RNA
Rfam family: Bacterial large subunit ribosomal RNA
Source: RNAcentral
GACAGCCAGGAUGUUGGCUUAGAAGCAGCCAUCAUUUAAAGAAAGCGUAAUAGCUCACUGGUCGAGUCGGCCUGCGCGGAAGAUGUAACGGGGCUAAACCAUGCACCGAAGCUGCGGCAGCGACACUGUGUGUUGUUGGGUAGGGGAGCGUUCUGUAAGCCUGCGAAGGUGUGCUGUGAGGCAUGCUGGAGGUAUCAGAAGUGCGAAUGCUGACAUAAGUAACGAUAAAGCGGGUGAAAAGCCCGCUCGCCGGAAGAC